GCCUGGGUGGCUAAGUUGGUUGGGCAUCUGGCUUCAGCUCAGGUCAUAAUCUCGUGGUUUGUGGGUUCGAGCCCCACUUCAGGCU
This 85-nucleotide transfer RNA is filed under the name Felis catus (domestic cat). It matches the Rfam family "tRNA". Rfam says of the family: Transfer RNA (tRNA) molecules are approximately 80 nucleotides in length. Their secondary structure includes four short double-helical elements and three loops (D, anti-codon, and T loops). The record is from Rfam by way of RNAcentral. Lineage: Eukaryota; Metazoa; Chordata; Mammalia; Carnivora; Felidae.